GACCUAGUAGUGGAGGGACCACACCUGCUUUCAGUGCAUAAGAAGGCGAAAUUAUGCUGGAGGAAUCCCUGGUUCGACUCCGGGCUAGGUCA
This is a non-coding RNA of Mycena epipterygia, 92 nucleotides long. NCBI's taxonomy places the organism in Eukaryota, Fungi, Basidiomycota, Agaricomycetes, Agaricales, Mycenaceae. The record is from the annotation of a GenBank genome assembly.